UGGGGAAUAUUGGACAAUGGGGGAAACCCUGAUCCAGCAAUGCCGCGUGAGUGAAGAAGGCCUUAGGGUUGUAAAACUCUUUCAGAAGUGAAGAUGAUGACUGUAACUUCAGAAGAAGCUCCGGCUAACUCCGUGCCAGCAGCCGCGGUAAUACGGAGGGAGCUAGCGUUGUUCGGAAUUACUGGGCGUAAAGGGCGUGUAGGCUGUAUGGUAAGUCAGAGGUGAAAUCCCUAAGCUUAACUUAGGAACUGCCUUUGAUACUAUCAUGCUAGAGAUCGAGAGAGGUUAGUGGAAUUCCAAGUGUAGAGGUGAAAUUCGUAGAUAUUUGGAAGAACACCAGUGGCGAAAGCGACUAACUGGCUCGUUUCUGACGCUGAGACGCGAAAGCGUGGGUAGCAAACAGG
This 404-nucleotide ribosomal RNA is filed under the name uncultured bacterium. RNAcentral's name for it is "bacterial SSU rRNA". It matches the Rfam family "Bacterial small subunit ribosomal RNA", at positions 355 to 776 of the family's 1533-position model. The record is from RNAcentral.